RNAcentral lists this ribosomal RNA (497 nucleotides) under uncultured bacterium. RNAcentral describes it as "partial 16S ribosomal RNA". It matches the Rfam family "Bacterial small subunit ribosomal RNA", at positions 28 to 507 of the family's 1533-position model. The record is from RNAcentral.
GAUGAACGCUGGCGGCGUGCCUAAUACAUGCAAGUCGAGCGAACAGAUGAGGAGCUUGCUCCUUUGACGUUAGCGGCGGACGGGUGAGUAACACGUGGAUAACCUACCUAUAAGACUGGGAUAACUUCGGGAAACCGGAGCUAAUACCGGAUAAUAUAUUGAACCGCAUGGUGAAAUAGUGAAAGACGGUUUUGCUGUCACUUAUAGAUGGAUCCACGCCGCAUUAGCUAGUUGGUAAGGUAACGGCUUACCAAGGCAACGAUGCGUAGCCGACCUGAGAGGGUGAUCAGCCACACUGGAACUAAGACACGGUCCAGACUCCUUCGGGAGACAGCAGUAGAGAGUCUGCCGCAAUGGGCGAAAGCCUGACGGAGCAACGCCGCGUGAGUGAUGAAGAUCUUCGGAUCGUAAAACUCUGUUAUUAGGAAUAAACAAAUGUGUAAGUAACUAUACACGUCUUGACGGUACCUAAUCAGAAAGCCGCGGCUAACUACGUG